UUGAAGCUGGUACCUUCGGUAUCCGCGUUGUAACCUCGAGACACGUUUUCCGUGCGGCGCUAUGGACAAGUUCCUUGGAACAGGACAUCGUAGAGGGUGAAAAUCCCGUACUUGCCAUGGAUGUACCGUGCUUUGCGAUACGUGCUCUAAGAGUCGAGUUGUUUGGGAUUGCAGCUCAAAAUGGGUGGUAGACUCCAUCUAAAGCUAAAUAUCGGGGAGAGACCGAUAGCGAACAAGUACCGUGAGGGAAAGAUGAAAAGCACUUUGGAAAGAGAGUUAAAAGUACGUGAAAUUGUCGAAAGGGAAGCGCUUGAAGUCAGCCAUGCCGCUCAGGACUCAGCCUGGCUUUUGCUUGGUGUAUUUCCUGGGUAGCAAGUCAGCAUUGGUUUGGAUCGUCGGAGAAGCAUAGUCGGAAUGUGGCGCCCUCGGGCGUGUUAUAGCCUUCUAUUGGAUACGACGAUCUAGACCAAGGAACGCAGCGCGCCUUAUGGCGGGUCUUCGGACACCUUCGCGCUUAGGAUG
RNAcentral lists this ribosomal RNA (522 nucleotides) under Malassezia furfur. RNAcentral's name for it is "partial large subunit ribosomal RNA". It matches the Rfam family "Eukaryotic large subunit ribosomal RNA", at positions 116 to 625 of the family's 3401-position model. The record is from RNAcentral. Lineage: Eukaryota; Fungi; Basidiomycota; Malasseziomycetes; Malasseziales; Malasseziaceae.